This 478-nucleotide long non-coding RNA is filed under the name Monodelphis domestica (gray short-tailed opossum). RNAcentral's name for it is "lncRNA (ENSMODG00000036789.1)". The record is from RNAcentral. Lineage: Eukaryota; Metazoa; Chordata; Mammalia; Didelphimorphia; Didelphidae.
CUAAGUGUUUCCCUCCCUUCUUCCCUAACAGAGCUGGCAAGCAGUUUGAUCUCAGUUAUAUAUGUUUCAUCUCAUUUUGUAAGCAGCCACAACUGCAAGUGAACAGAGCACUCUGAUGUGCCAAUAGAUGAAAAUGAAGAUGUCAAAGGAGAAAAAUUUGAUGAAGCAUUUGCAAACUAACAACAUGGAAGCUAUUGGAAUCUACCCUGAAAUUUGAUGUCCUCAGGGCAAAGGUUAAUUUUUUCUGGUUCAUCUGGGUGAGAUACUAAAGGGCACAGACAUCAAGAGACUCCAUGGAUCAAGUAUACGUAUUAGCAAACCCCACCCACCUUGGUUCAUCCCAUCCACUCCACCUUCCUAUGCCAAAGACAUGAUACAGAGGUUGGGAAUGGGAAUCAAGAGAGAGGAGAGCUUAUUUACAGUUUCAAUCGAUGAUCAGCCUGAGAUCUAGAGAAGCAAACCUCCUACUGCCUUAGCC